UACGUAGGCGGCGAGCGUUAUCCGGAUUUACUGGGCGUAAAGAGGGCGCAGGCGGCUUGGCAAGUCGGAUGUUAAAUCUCCCGGCUCAACUGGGAGUCAUCGUUCGAUACUGUUAGGCUAGAGGGCAGCAGAGGGUGAUGGAAUUCCCGGUGUAGUGGUGAAAUGCGUAGAUAUCGGGAGGAACACCAGUGGCGAAGGCGGUCACCUAGGCUGUUACUGACGCUUAAGCCCGAAGGCGUGGGGAGCAAACAGG
This 253-nucleotide ribosomal RNA is filed under the name uncultured bacterium. RNAcentral describes it as "partial 16S ribosomal RNA". It matches the Rfam family "Bacterial small subunit ribosomal RNA", at positions 524 to 776 of the family's 1533-position model. The record is from RNAcentral.